CAAUCGUCUCUCUCACUGGGGUCCUCGUCGCCACGGGAAUGGGAUGUCCAGUCCCAAGAGGCCCGGCGGGGCCCCAUGCCGUUGCUCCAGUCAGGCCGACAGGACGGCCCCAGUGGACUGUGAGCAGAACUACAUGAAGUGAAGCUCGGACUGUGGGAGCGCGGACUCAGAGAACGACUGACAGGGCUACGAGAUCUUGCACGUUCUGGCUUUAUGCCGAACAUCACAUGAACAAACGGGAAAACAGGUCUCAUUGCAUCCACUUGUUGGAGAAAGUGUUAACAGCAGUAUGAUCUGACAGUUGCAGUUAUGGACUUUUAAGUGACAUCUCUUCUCUGAUGAUGUGUUUACUGGUGUGAGGGCGGAGCAACCUGUCACUCACAUGAGAUCUAAGGCUGAAUUAUACCUGAUGCGUCGAGCGCAUGAGGAUGUAGUUGGUCACUUUGCCGAAGGGCAGCCCCAAGUUGAUGACAUCAUUCUCCGUGCAGCUGCCCUCUGGGAGGUUACAGAUAUGGACGACACGCCCCGGACAUGCCUUACGCUGAAGAAACUUUUAGAGUCCUUGACCUCAAAAUGGCCCUGCUUUGGUUUGCUACACUGAACUCUGAGACUUUUUUUUUUUUUAAGUGAGAGAAUAAAAAAUUAAUGAAUGAAUCUGAAAUGAAUUUUAAAAUUGUAAGAUUAUUUAAAAAAGAUACUGUUCAUUUGUAACAUUUGCUAAUUACAACAAAAUACAGUGCAAGAACUACAUUCUGACUCUGAUGUACAGUAUGAGAUUCAAAUUAGUUGCCCGUCUACUAAAAAAAUCGUUUACCAUCAGAUUUUUUUUGCUAGAAAGCCAAUCAAAAAAUAGUUUUCUCUUUUUGUCCUAAAUUUAAGUGGUGAGAUUUUCUUGCCAUUGUGUGACCAAAAUACAAAUCAUGAAAUAAUGUCUGGUCUCAGCUGAAUUUUACUGAUAGACUGGAUAUGUUGCUACACUGGGUUAAAAACAACCCAAGUUGAAAAUGGACAAACCCAUUGGUGGGUUAAAUGUUUGCCCAACGUGCUGGGUAGUUUUAUUUAACUCAACUAUUGUCGAAAAAUUACUAUAUGGAUGGCUUAAAAUGAACCCAACAUAGGUUGGAAAUUAAAAAUCAGACACAUAAUUACUAGAGGCAACAAUAAUAAUCUAAAGGUGAACAUUUAUUAAUAAGCAAUUUAAUAAACGUUUAUUGUUUCAUUAUUAUUCAUUAAACAUAUUAAUAAAUGUUCAUUUAUUAAACAAGUUAAUAAAUAUUAAUGUCCAACAUACUUUUGGUUCAUUUUAAGCAAGCAAUAAUGUAUGAUAAUGUGAUAAUGUAUAAUACUGUUUAUGAAAUAAAACUUUAUGUUUUGUGCUUUG
This is a long non-coding RNA of Ctenopharyngodon idella (grass carp), 1381 nucleotides long. RefSeq lists it as uncharacterized. The transcript is spliced from 4 exons. The record is from RefSeq and is a predicted model, not a curated record. Lineage: Eukaryota; Metazoa; Chordata; Actinopteri; Cypriniformes; Xenocyprididae.